RNAcentral lists this long non-coding RNA (379 nucleotides) under Mytilus galloprovincialis (Mediterranean mussel). Lineage: Eukaryota; Metazoa; Mollusca; Bivalvia; Mytilida; Mytilidae. The record is from RNAcentral.
AAUUAAGAGUCUUCGUCUGAUCAUGGAAUAUCUUUCAAACAUUUUUCAGCAACUUUAAAAAGAAAUGCUUUAAGAGAAAUGUGUGGGGUUCUAAUUACUGAAUUUUCAGUAUGUCUAUGUUGUGUUUUGUACACUGGUGUUUGUCCGUUAUUUGUCAUUGUGUUGUAAGUUGGGAUCGGCUUAUCUCUUUAGAAUCUUCAGCCUCUAAUGUAACUUUAUUGUAACCAUUUUCAUAUUUCCAAUCGAACGUCGGGCAUUUUUGUAUUUUUUCCUGUAAAACCUCCGGAAUCAUUUCGAUAAUAUUGUCGUUUGAGACGGAGAUAUAGUUAAUGUAUUUUAUAAUAUAAUGACUUACCAUAAUCAUAAUGCACCCACCAAC